Molecule: long non-coding RNA, 1554 nt
Filed under: Equus caballus (horse)
Lineage: Eukaryota; Metazoa; Chordata; Mammalia; Perissodactyla; Equidae
Description: lncRNA (ENSECAG00000059822.1)
Source: RNAcentral
CUCUGAAGUGAGAUAGUCAAGCCCUGUGCACACAGUCAGCAUUUGCUACCUGCUGCUGAAUCACUGCCUGAAUAAAUGAAUAAUUUGCCACGGAAGGAGGUGGUCUUCAUUCAAAUCUCCAGCUUCCUUUGAUGGAUGGGAUUUGCCAGAGUACAGAGAAGCUCAGCGCUCCCAAGGGGCAGGUGGCUAGAUAUGGCCACACUGUGUUCAAAGAUCUCGCACUGUUUAGAAACGACCUCGAGGCUGGACCCAGCUGAAAUCCAGGAGCCCUGCCGCUGCUCUCCUGCAUCAACAAGGCACAACUGGAUGUCUAAUAAAUCCAAGCAAGCCAGUGACUAAGAGAGAGCUGAAAGUCAGAGUAUUUGUUUUAUUUUGAGCAGUAAUUACAGAGUCUUGGGUCUGGAGGAGAGCAGAUCCACAGGCAUCUUGGUCAGAAUCCACUGGAGAGCUGGUUCAAGUACAGAUGCCCUCUGGGCCCCUGACUCAGCCCUGGCCUGGAGUAGUGGGAACCUGUGGUUUACAGUCAGCCAGGUUUGAGAAACACUGAUCCAGUCAGAACUCACUGCCUCAUCAGGCAGCCCCAUCCACCUCGGGCCGUCUGACUGAGAGAACCAUCCCCUGAUGCUCACCCAACACCUGUCUUCCUGCGCCUUCUACGCGGUGCUCGUAGUUUCUCUUCGUGGCCACAUAAACUAAGCCUUACCCUUCUUCCACACGAUGCCAACCCUUCUGACAUUUGAAGCCAGGAUCCUCUCCCUUCUUGGGUUUUCCAAACAGCCUUCCUUUGACAGAGGUUCAAGUCCCCUCUCCUCCCAUUACCGCUAUCUGAUCUCCCUUGUCUGAGCAGAGAAGGUGGCGGCUUGAGAAGCCACUCAGACCAUCUAGGGAGUUAGUCAUGAAACCUGAUAAUAACCCCAGCGACUAGUCUCCGAGCAUCGGUUAUCCACCGAGCAUCACACUUCACAGCCCCCUCGUCUCAUCCACAUAACAAGCCUGUGACAUGGGUAGUAUUGUGUCCAGUUUACAAGUGGGUUAAUUGAGGUUCAGAGGCGUGAAGAUGCUUGUCCAGGGGAACUCAGUCAGUGCCCCAGGAGCUGGCGUCAGAACCCAGGCCUGCCUGACUGAGUUCAGAUCAGGGUGCCUUCCGUUUCCUGGCUCAGCCACCCUGGGGCACGACGCAGACAGUUCGAUUCCAAGCCAAAGCUGGAGAGAUGUCUUCCAGCCUGUCCUCCGUCUCCGGGCCUCGUCUGCAGAGACGCCCCAGAGCCUCCAACGCCUGCCGCUCUUCUCUGAGGCUGGUGGAAUGUCUCGUCAAACACCCAGGCACGUUUUUGCCACUUUAAGAAAUCAAGGCAAUUUCUGCUCUUGACAAAGGUAAAAUCCUUUAAAGCUUUGGAGGAUUGGGAAAGGGAAUAAAAAAGACAUUAAUAGAAUGACAUAUUUUUAGUGUAACACUUCAGAGAAAACUCUGGGGGAACAAAAAAUAAAAUGAACGACCUAAAUAUGCUUUUUUUUUUUUACACUGUGAGCUUCAAAGGAGUAGGUUGUGCUGGG